Molecule: long non-coding RNA, 472 nt
Organism: Dendroctonus ponderosae (mountain pine beetle)
Lineage: Eukaryota; Metazoa; Arthropoda; Insecta; Coleoptera; Curculionidae
Exons: 2
Source: RefSeq, a predicted model, not a curated record
UCGACGCUAACUAAUUUCAUUGGAUAACUCUGCAACUGUUUUGAUAAAACUUGCGGUUCAUAUGGUCAUGUUACCAUUAUUGCAGUGCGUUUACGUUGAUAAGAGCAAAGUCGCCAUAUACGCGCUUGAAAACAUUUUCAAUAUUUAGUAUCAACAACUUUAAGUCCGUCUUUUCAGUCUCUAGAUGCAACUAAGUGGACGAAUCGAAUCGCAUGUAUUGAACGGGGACAAAACGACAACAACAAAGAAGCAGAUUAUAAGCAAUAACAUGUAGGUAUCUACAGUCCAAAGCGGCCUUCAACAGGAAAGAAGCGUCGUUGAAUAUAUUAAUGAUUGAACAAUAAGCCAUAUGCAAAUAAAAGUUCAUUUGUAUAGGAAUUUCCCUUCAUCUCUCCUCGGUCGGCGGAAUUUUCCACUCGUGGUUCCUUCUCAAAGCCGCACAGUGGAGUAUUUGGUGGUAAUUUCUUAAAAA